This 276-nucleotide ribosomal RNA is filed under the name uncultured bacterium. RNAcentral describes it as "partial 16S ribosomal RNA". It matches the Rfam family "Bacterial small subunit ribosomal RNA", at positions 524 to 794 of the family's 1533-position model. The record is from RNAcentral.
UACGUAGGGUGCGAGCGUUAAUCGGAAUUACUGGGCGUAAAGCGUGCGCAGGCGGUUUUGUAAGUCAGAUGUGAAAUCCCCCGAGCUCAACUUGGGAACUGCGUUUGAAACUACAAGACUAGAAUAUGUCAGAGGGGGUAGGAAUUCCACGUGUAGCAGUGAAAUAGCGUAGAGAUGUGGAGGGAAUACCAAUGGCGAAGGCAGCCCCCUCGGGAGUAAUAUUGACGCUCAUGCACGAAAGCGUGGGGAGCAAACAGGAUUAGAUACCCGGGUAGU